RNAcentral lists this transfer RNA (63 nucleotides) under Cordylochernes scorpioides. Its description in RNAcentral is "tRNA-OTHER". Lineage: Eukaryota; Metazoa; Arthropoda; Arachnida; Pseudoscorpiones; Chernetidae. The record is from RNAcentral.
UGCAUCGGCCGGCCGGGAAAUCGAACAACCCGGCCAGCAUUCUCACCACUGAACCACCGAUGC